This 253-nucleotide ribosomal RNA is filed under the name uncultured bacterium. Its description in RNAcentral is "partial 16S ribosomal RNA". It matches the Rfam family "Bacterial small subunit ribosomal RNA", at positions 524 to 776 of the family's 1533-position model. The record is from RNAcentral.
UACGAAGGGUGCAAGCGUUACUCGGAAUUACUGGGCGUAAAGCGUGCGUAGGUGGUUUGUUAAGUCUGUUGUGAAAGCCCCGGGCUCAACCUGGGAGUGGCAAUGGAUACUGGCAAGCUAGAGUGCGGUAGAGGGUAGUGGAAUUCCCGGUGUAGCGGUGAAAUGCGUAGAGAUCGGGAGGAACACCAGUGGCGAAGGCGGCUACCUGGACCAGCACUGACACUGAGGCACGAAAGCGUGGGGAGCAAACAGG